CUUUCUUUGCUGGCGACCGGCGCACGGGUGAGUAACACGUAUCCAACCUGCCCUUUACUCGGGGAUAGCCUUUCGGAAGAAAGAUUAAUACCCGAUAGCAUAAUGAUUCCGCAUGGUUUCAUUAUUAAAGGAUUCCGGUAAAGGAUGGGGAUGCGUUCCAUUAGGUUGUUGGUGAGGUAACGGCUCACCAAGCCUUCGAUGGAUAGGGGUUCUGAGAGGAAGGUCCCCCACAUUGGAACUGAGACACGGUCCAA
This 254-nucleotide ribosomal RNA is filed under the name uncultured bacterium. RNAcentral describes it as "partial 16S ribosomal RNA". It matches the Rfam family "Bacterial small subunit ribosomal RNA", at positions 79 to 334 of the family's 1533-position model. The record is from RNAcentral.